Molecule: long non-coding RNA, 116 nt
Organism: Dermochelys coriacea (leatherback sea turtle)
Lineage: Eukaryota; Metazoa; Chordata; Testudines; Dermochelyidae
Exons: 3
Source: RefSeq, a predicted model, not a curated record
UUCUAAACUUACUAUUUGCCUAAAAGUCUUUUCCCAGGCUCCACCAUCUCUCUUUGCAUUCACUGUGAGCUUCUCUAGAGCUUUUCUAAUGCACAGAGUGUGCUUCUCACGCCUCC